RNAcentral lists this small RNA (157 nucleotides) under Pongo abelii (Sumatran orangutan). Its description in RNAcentral is "retained intron". The record is from RNAcentral. Lineage: Eukaryota; Metazoa; Chordata; Mammalia; Primates; Hominidae.
AUCAACCUCUAAAUAUCUUUGAAGGAGACAACAACUUUUAAAUGAAUAAAGAGGAAGUCAAGUUGCCCUAUAGAAAACUUGUCCAAAUAACAUUUCAACAGCUAAAUUGAUAAAGACUGGUGAUAAUAAAAGUUGAAUUAUGUAUAUCACUGUUAAA